This 262-nucleotide ribosomal RNA is filed under the name uncultured bacterium. Its description in RNAcentral is "partial 16S ribosomal RNA". It matches the Rfam family "Bacterial small subunit ribosomal RNA", at positions 99 to 354 of the family's 1533-position model. The record is from RNAcentral.
CGCACGGGUGAGUAACACGUAUGGAACCUGCCCUAUGCGAGGGGGAUAAGCGGAAGAAAUUCCGUCUAAUACCGCAUAACACCAUUUGGAGACAUCUUCUUGGGGUCAAAGGAGGCGACUCCGGCAUAGGAUGGCCAUGCGUCGCAUUAGCUAGUCGGCGGGGGUAACGGGCCCACCGAGGCGACGAUGCGUAGGGGUUCUGAGAGGAAGGUCCCCCACACUGGUACUGAGACACGGACCAGACUCCUACGGAAGGCAGCAG